This 86-nucleotide transfer RNA is filed under the name Fuerstiella sp. It matches the Rfam family "tRNA". From Rfam's summary of the family: Transfer RNA (tRNA) molecules are approximately 80 nucleotides in length. RNAcentral also lists the same sequence under 3 other names. The record is from Rfam by way of RNAcentral. Lineage: Bacteria; Pseudomonadati; Planctomycetota; Planctomycetia; Planctomycetales; Planctomycetaceae.
GGCCAGGUGGCGAAAUAGGCAGACGCACGGGACUUAAAAUCCCGGGCCCCUAAAGGGGCGUACGGGUUCGAUUCCCGUCCUGGCUA